AGAGUUUGAUCCUGGCUCAGGACGAACGCUGGCGGCGUGCUUAACACAUGCAAGUCGAGCGGAAAGGCCACUUCGGUGGUACUCGAGCGGCGAACGGGUGAGUAACACGUGAGUAAUCUGCCCCUGGCUUUGGGAUAGCCACCGGAAACGGUGAUUAAUACCGGAUAUGACCACGUACUGCAUGGUGUGUGGUGGAAAGUUUUUCGGCCAGGGAUGUGCUCGCGGCCUAUCAGCUUGAUGGUGAGGUAAUGGCUCACCAUGGCUUCGACGGGUAGCCGGCCUGAGAGGGUGACCGGUCACACUGGGACUGAGACACGGCCCAGACUCCUACGGGAGGCAGCAGUGGGGAAUAUUGGACAAUGGGCGGAAGCCUGAUCCAGCAACGCCGCGUGAGGGAUGACGGCCUUCGGGUUGUAAACCUCUUUCAGUACCGACGAAGCGCAAGUGACGGUAGGUACAGAAGAAGCACCGGCCAACUACGUGCCAGCAGCCGCGGUAAUACGUAGGGUGCGAGCGUUGUCCGGAAUUAUUGGGCGUAAAGGGCUCGUAGGCGGUUUGUCGCGUCGGGAGUGAAAACGCCGUGCUUAACACGGCGCUUGCUUUCGAUACGGGCAGACUAGAGGUAUGCAGGGGAGAACGGAAUUCCUGGUGUAGCGGUGAAAUGCGCAGAUAUCAGGAGGAACACCGGUGGCGAAGGCGGUUCUCUGGGCAUUACCUGACGCUGAGGAGCGAAAGUGUGGGGAGCGAACAGGAUUAGAUACCCUGGUAGUCCACACCGU
This 779-nucleotide ribosomal RNA is filed under the name Nocardioides alpinus. Its description in RNAcentral is "bacterial SSU rRNA". It matches the Rfam family "Bacterial small subunit ribosomal RNA", at positions 8 to 803 of the family's 1533-position model. Lineage: Bacteria; Bacillati; Actinomycetota; Actinomycetes; Propionibacteriales; Nocardioidaceae. The record is from RNAcentral.